Non-coding RNA from Arvicanthis niloticus (Nile rat), 4283 nucleotides. NCBI's taxonomy places the organism in Eukaryota, Metazoa, Chordata, Mammalia, Rodentia, Muridae. The record is from RefSeq and is a predicted model, not a curated record.
GCGAGGGAGUGCGGCGCGAGCGCGCGCGGCGGCGGCAGUGUGUUCGGGACGCGCGUGGAGGUCGGUCGCUCAGAGGUGCUGGGCGCGUCGUGGCAGCGAGCGAGUUCCUGCGAGUACCCAGUGGUCUUCCUCUGCCCGUAGCCUCCCGCUCGGUCGCCCCGCUCCCCUUCCAGCGCCUUCCGCCUGCAGCCCGUCGAAGCUCUGGAGAUGAAUUUCGCCAUCUCUUCAGAGAUGACCCAGAUUAUGAUGCAUGAUUAUCACAGAAGAAAUUCAUGUCUAUAGCUUUUAAGGACUUGAUUACAUCAUUUUCAAGCCUGCUAGUUUUGGAACCACCAUUAAAGCCUAAGACAUCUACCUUCACUCGGCCACCUAUCUUCAUACCGUAACAAAGUGCUUUGUUUCAACACUCCUUUGUCUUUGGAUCAUUUGCAUUCUCAGUGACACAUUUCUCUUCAGGAAUAGUUGCCAAAUUUAUAAGGAAAAAAUGAUUCCCAAUGGAUAUUUGAUGUUUGAAGAUGAAAAUUUUAUUGAAUCUUCUGUUGCCAAAUUAAAUGCCUUGAGGAAAAGUGGGCAGUUCUGUGAUGUUCGACUUCAGGUCUGUGGCCAUGAGAUGCUAGCACACAGGGCAGUCCUGGCUUGCUGUAGCCCCUAUCUGUUUGAAAUCUUUAAUAGUGACAGUGACCCUCAUGGAGUUUCUCAUGUGAAGUUGGAUGAUCUCAACCCAGAAGCUGUUGAAGUCUUGCUGAAUUAUGCAUACACUGCUCAGUUGAAAGCUGAUAAGGAAUUAGUAAAAGAUGUUUAUUCUGCAGCAAAGAAGCUGAAGAUGGACCGAGUAAAGCAGGUCUGCGGAGAUUAUUUACUAUCUAGAAUGGAUGUUACUAGCUGCAUCUCUUACCGAAAUUUUGCAAGUUGUAUGGGAGACUCCCGUUUGUUGAAUAAAGUUGACACUUAUAUUCAGGAGCAUUUGUUACAAAUCUCAGAGGAAGAGGAAUUUCUUAAGCUUCCAAGACUAAAGUUGGAGGUAAUGCUUGAAGAUAAUGUUUGCUUGCCCAGCAAUGGCAAAUUGUACACAAAGGUAAUCAACUGGGUGCAGCGUAGCAUCUGGGAGAAUGGAGACAGCCUGGAAGAGCUUAUGGAAGAGGUUUAUUAACAAAACUAGGAUCCCCAAGACUGAAGAGCCGAGAAGAAACCUCGAGUGUAUUGACACGUAAAGAAGCAGCAGUCCUGCCCCAGUCUCCUAAGAAAAGUCCGCUGUGGGCAGAGAGCGAUGAUGAUUUAAUGGUGUUUACUCCUUUACAGGGUUCUUACCUCUAGAUUUUGUGUUUUCAAUGAUGUUGUUCUUACAUAUAGUCAGACUUGGGCUGUUUUUUAAAAAAUAUACAAGAAAAACAAAAUUUGAAAAACUUGGGACUGGUCCAUGUUGUGCUGGUUGGAGUAGUGGAGUAAUUGAGUGUAUCAUCCCGCAGAACCUCCACGCUCACAAAGCUAGCCUGCUCUGUUAGGCCUUAGUCACUGCCAUUACUGCAUUCCAUAAAGGCUAGCAGAUGUUCUUUCAAUUCUGUGACUUCCCUUAUGGGAAUCAGAUGCAGUAGUUAGUCAUGUAUUUGCAUCUGAACAGGAAGAUUGCAGCUUGCUUGAAUUUUUGCAUUUGUUUUUCCUUUAUGUGUUUUCUUGAUAUUACCUACAGGGGAGAAGUAUGUUUAUUCAAACAAUGCCAUUUAUCUUCAAAGGUGUAAACCAUUCAGUGUUUUGUUGUAAAUAUGUGUAUUUGAGAAACUAUGUGUUGUACUAUACCUUUUUUCUUAAUGUCACAUAAUAGAAGCUAUGGAAACAAUGAAGAUUUCUUUCAAGCCAAUCAAGCCAAGGACUCUUCAGCCAGUGUUAGAAGAUUUUGUAUUUGAUCUUGAUUUUUGUUUUGGUUUUUUUUUGUUUUGUUUUGUUUUCACUUUUUACAUUUUUACUACUAUGACAUGUUUUUCUUUGCAUCGGGAUCCUGCCAGAGUAAGAUGUCAAGACGCACACUGGAGGUUACCUUGAGGCGGUUGUGUAAUCUGCGGACUAGCAAGUAGCCAUGGUGACAGUAGCCACAUGGGUGUUCUGUUGCUGUUUUGCAGGUUCAAACCUUGUACUACUCAGCUGAUCACAAGCUGCUUGAUGGGAACCCACUAGAUGGACAGGCUGAGGUGUUUGGCAGUGAUGAUGACCACAUUCAGUUUGUGCAGAAAAAGCCACCCCGUGAGAAUGGCCAUAAGCAGAUAAGUGGCAGUUCCACUGGAUGUCUCUCUUCUCCACAUGCUUCAAUGCAAAGUCCUAAGCAUGAGUGGAAAAUCGUUGCUUCAGAAAAGACUUCAAAUAAUACUUACUUGUGCCUGGCUGUGCUGGAUGGUACAUUCUGUGUCAUUUUCCUUCAUGGGCGGAACAGUCCACAGAGCUCACCCACAAGUACUCCAAAACUGAGCAAGAGUUUAAGCUUUGAGAUGCAGCCAGAUGAGCUCCUAGAAAAGCCCAUGUCUCCCAUGCAGUAUGCACGGUCUGGACUAGGGACGGCAGAGAUGAAUGGCAAACUCAUAGCUGCAGGUGGUUAUAACAGAGAGGAAUGUCUGCGAACAGUUGAAUGCUAUGAUCCACAUACAGAUCAUUGGUCCUUCCUUGCUCCCAUGAGAACACCAAGAGCCCGCUUUCAAAUGGCUGUACUGAUGGGACAGCUCUAUGUGGUGGGUGGAUCAAAUGGACACUCAGAUGACCUGAGUUGUGGAGAAAUGUAUGAUCCGAGCAUUGAUGACUGGACCCCUGUUCCAGAGUUAAGAACUAACCGUUGUAAUGCAGGAGUGUGUGCUCUGAAUGGGAAGUUGUACAUUGUUGGUGGCUCAGAUCCAUAUGGUCAAAAAGGCCUGAAAAACUGUGAUGUAUUCGAUCCUGUAACAAAGUCAUGGACAAGCUGUGCUCCUCUUAACAUUCGUAGACACCAGUCUGCAGUUUGUGAACUUGGUGGUUAUUUAUAUAUAAUUGGAGGUGCAGAAUCUUGGAAUUGUCUGAACACAGUAGAACGAUACAAUCCUGAAAAUAACACCUGGACUUUGAUUGCACCCAUGAAUGUGGCUAGACGAGGAGCUGGAGUCGCUGUUCUUGAUGGAAAACUGUUUGUAGGUGGUGGCUUUGAUGGUUCUCACGCCAUCAGUUGUGUGGAGAUGUAUGAUCCAACUAGAAAUGAAUGGAAGAUGAUGGGAAAUAUGACUUCACCAAGGAGCAACGCUGGGAUCACAACUGUAGGGAGCACCAUUUACGCAGUGGGGGGAUUCGAUGGCAAUGAAUUUCUGAAUACUGUGGAAGUCUACAACCUUGAGUCAAAUGAGUGGAGCCCUUACACAAAGAUUUUCCAGUUUUAACAAAUUUAAGAACCCCAAACUAACAGGCUUAGUGAUGUAAUUGUGUUUAGUAGAGGUACCCUUGUGAAUAAGGAGGGUGGGUGGGGUAGAUGUUGCUAACAGCAACACAGAGCUUUUGCAUAUUGCAUAUUAUUAAACAUGCUGUACAUACUUUUUGUGUUUGGAACGGAAUGCAAAGAUGAAGGUCUGUUUGUGUAUUAAGACAUCUUUGGUUAUUUUACUUUUUGAAGGUUGAUACUGUAAAAGAAUAAACCACAAAUUGAUUGGGAACAUCAUUUCAAGAAGUCCCUGCUCCUCCAUAUUUGUUUUGCCGAUUUGCACAUUAAAUGACUCUUCCCUCACUUCUGUCUUAAGAGGCAAGAGGGUAGGGUUUACAAGUAGGCAGUUGGGUUUUUUAAGGGCCCCUUUUCAAUAACUGGAACACUCUAUUACAAAAUACUUAUUUAAAUAGAUAACAAUGACUAUUUUUGUUUUUAUUAAAAGAAAGUUGACAUGCCUACCAAUAUUUAGUCUUUUAUGAUUACAUUUUUAUAACUUUUUAUAUUCUCAGCAGAGUGCUUUAUCUGUUGAAGUAAAAUAUGACAGAUUCACGUUAUCAAAACAGAGUGGCAGAGGAAAGGAUGCAGAGUGGGGUGUUUCUUUUAAAUGCUCAGAACGCAGACUUUAGCAUUUGCCGCAGCUGUACUUUUUUCUUUUUUCUUUUCUAUUUGAGAGUGCAGUAUCGAUGUUUAUUUGGAUGGAGUUGCUGAAUAGUAACAGUAAUAAUUCAAACCCAGGUUUGAUGAAUUACUUGACUUACUGAAACAUUUAAACUGUCUUUAUUUAUCAUUAACCAAGCAAUUGUAAGUGGAAGCCUUUGAUUGAAAACAAUUAAACUGUAUUGGGUUUGUGAAUGCA